This 253-nucleotide ribosomal RNA is filed under the name uncultured bacterium. RNAcentral describes it as "partial 16S ribosomal RNA". It matches the Rfam family "Bacterial small subunit ribosomal RNA", at positions 524 to 776 of the family's 1533-position model. The record is from RNAcentral.
UACGUAGGGUGCGAGCGUUAAUCGGAAUUACUGGGCGUAAAGCGUGCGCAGGCGGUUUUAUAAGCCAGAUGUGAAAGCCCCGGGCUCAACCUGGGAAUGGCAUUUGGGACUGUAAGGCUGGAGUAUGGCAGAGGAGACUAGAAUUCCUGGUGUAGCAGUGAAAUGCGUAGAUAUCAGGAGGAAUACCGAUGGCGAAGGCAGGUCUCUGGGCCAAUACUGACGCUCAGGAGCGAAAGCGUGGGGAGCGAACAGG